RNAcentral lists this transfer RNA (85 nucleotides) under Felis catus (domestic cat). It matches the Rfam family "tRNA". From Rfam's summary of the family: Transfer RNA (tRNA) molecules are approximately 80 nucleotides in length. The record is from Rfam by way of RNAcentral. Lineage: Eukaryota; Metazoa; Chordata; Mammalia; Carnivora; Felidae.
ACCUGGGUGGCUCAAUCAGUUAAGCAUCUGACUUUGACUCAGGUCAUGAUCUCACAGUUCGUGGGUUCGAGCCCCACACUGGGCU